AGAGUUUGAUCAUGGCUCAGAACGAACGCUGGCGGCAGGCCUAACACAUGCAAGUCGAGCGCUUCACUUCGGUGAGGAGCGGCGGACGGGUUAGUAACGCGUGGGAAUAUACCCAGUUCUAAGGGAUAGCGACUGGAAACGGUGAGUAAUACCUUAUACGCCCUUCGGGGGAAAGAUUUAUCGGAAUUGGAUUAGCCCGCGUUAGAUUAGAUAGUUGGUGAGGUAACGGCUCACCAAGUCUACGAUCUAUAGCUGGUUUGAGAGGAUGAUCAGCAACACUGGGACUGAGACACGGCCCAGACUCCUACGGGAGGCAGCAGUGGGGAAUCUUGGACAAUGGGCGCAAGCCUGAUCCAGCCAUGCCGCGUGAGUGAUGAAGGCCUUAGGGUCGUAAAACUCUUUCGCCAGGGAUGAUAAUGACAGUACCUGGUAAAGAAACCCCGGCUAACUCCGUGCCAGCAGCCGCGGUAAUACGGAGGGGGUUAGCGUUGUUCGGAAUUACUGGGCGUAAAGCGUACGUAGGCGGAUUAGAAAGUUAGGGGUGAAAUCCCAGGGCUCAACCCUGGAACUGCCUUUAAAACUCCUAGUCUAGAGGUCGAGAGAGGUGAGUGGAAUUCCAAGUGUAGAGGUGAAAUUCGUAGAUAUUUGGAGGAACACCAGCGGCGAAGGCGGCUCACUGGCUCGAUACUGACGCUGAGGUACGAAAGUGUGGGGAGCAAACAGGAUUAGAUACCCUGGUAGUCCACACCGUAAACGAUGAAUGCCAGACGUCAGCAAGCAUGCUUGUUGGUGUCACACCUAACGGAUUAAGCAUUCCGCCUGGGGAGUACGGUCGCAAGAUUAAAACUCAAGAAAUUGACGGGGGCCCGCACAAGCGGU
RNAcentral lists this ribosomal RNA (879 nucleotides) under uncultured bacterium. Its description in RNAcentral is "bacterial SSU rRNA". It matches the Rfam family "Bacterial small subunit ribosomal RNA", at positions 8 to 933 of the family's 1533-position model. The record is from RNAcentral.